UAGAUUCCCAGCUGGAAAAGUACUGAAGAGCCUUAAUGGUCCCCCUACAGCAACUACUGUGAGCCUGGAGGGAAAAGUGUGAUCAAACAAAACAGAGAGCUCAGCAUGAGAAAGAGUAUUUUCUUCCAUCUGCAUACAAGAGCCACAAAUAAAAAAAAAUGUUUGUGAAAUGGAUCUGGGUGAGUUGGAGGAACAGGUCAUUCGCUGUCAACUCAGACAAGGACCGCUCUUCUACAGCAAUAUGGAAUGAGCUGUUUGGAAAUCAAAAGGUAGGACUCAGUGACUCUCUCCAGCAUCUCGUCAUCUCCUUCUCUUCCCUUCCCCUGUAGAGGAGCCUGAUGCAGGAGAACAGGUGCGCUCCCAUUCACCGUAAUGCAAAUGUGAACUUUACAGCGGCAUUGUGGCUCCUCAACUACGCUAUGAAAAUAUCACCCCAUUGGCAUCUUGCUGCCUCUAAUGAGCUGCUUAUCAUCCUUGAGAAAAAUAAUGAGGUUUCUUUAAACACCACCACCUGUCCAUCUCGAGCAGAUAAACAGGACGGAACCUCAUGCUGUAGGCUGGUGCAACAAACAACCACUUCCAAAUUUUUGAAUUGUAAAUUGCUCCUUGAACACACAAAGAAAAUGAACUGAAUAAC
This is a long non-coding RNA of Carassius carassius (crucian carp), 637 nucleotides long. RefSeq lists it as uncharacterized. The transcript is spliced from 3 exons. The record is from RefSeq and is a predicted model, not a curated record. NCBI's taxonomy places the organism in Eukaryota, Metazoa, Chordata, Actinopteri, Cypriniformes, Cyprinidae.